Molecule: transfer RNA, 73 nt
Filed under: Bos taurus (domestic cattle)
Lineage: Eukaryota; Metazoa; Chordata; Mammalia; Artiodactyla; Bovidae
Also listed under: 1 other name
Rfam family: tRNA
About the family: Transfer RNA (tRNA) molecules are approximately 80 nucleotides in length. Their secondary structure includes four short double-helical elements and three loops (D, anti-codon, and T loops).
Source: Rfam by way of RNAcentral
UCCCUGGCAGUUCAGUGGUAAGGAUGCUGUGCUUCCACUGCAGGGAACCCAGGUUUGACCCCUGGUCUGGGAA